Molecule: long non-coding RNA, 425 nt
Filed under: Ananas comosus (pineapple)
Lineage: Eukaryota; Viridiplantae; Streptophyta; Magnoliopsida; Poales; Bromeliaceae
Description: long non-coding RNA (ACOM_LNC029639)
Source: RNAcentral
ACAAUAUAUGAAAUUAAAAUUUAGGUUAAAUUACAGAAAAACUUCUUGUCAAAAUUCAAUUUUUUACUUCCUCUCUUAUCAUUUAAAAACCUACACUUGUCCUCUUAUAAAAUAAAAAAAAAUAUUCACAGGGAUACGGUGUGAACUGUGAUGACAAAAUGACCAUUUUGUUCCUCACUAUUUUGCAGCUCGAUCACCAUGUUCACAGGAGAGAAGACAUUGAGGGCAUUUUUGGCAUAAAAAAAUAUAUAAUAAUAUUUUAUAAACGGAAUCCUAACGGAUUACUAACGAUAAGGGUAAAGUUAAUAUUUUUUAUUUUACAAGAGGGCAAAAUGUAGGUUUUUAAAUGAUAGAAAAAAAAAGUGAAAAAUCGAAUUUUGAAAGAAGGAUUUUAUGUAUUUUAGCCUAGAAUUUAGAAAAUCAAU